GCGGCAACAGCUCAAAUUUGAAAUCUGGCCCUCGGGUCCGAGUUGUAAUUUGUAGAGGAUGCUUUUGGUGCGGUGCCUUCCGAGUUCCCUGGAACGGGACGCCAUAGAGGGUGAGAGCCCCGUCUGGUUGGACACCAAGCCUCUGUAAAGCUCCUUCGACGAGUCGAGUAGUUUGGGAAUGCUGCUCUAAAUGGGAGGUAUAUGUCUUCUAAAGCUAAAUACCGGCCAGAGACCGAUAGCGCACAAGUAGAGUGAUCGAAAGAUGAAAAGCACUUUGAAAAGAGGGUUAAAUAGUACGUGAAAUUGUUGAAAGGGAAGCGCUUAUGACCAGACUUGAGCCCGGUUAAUCAUCCAGCCUUCUGGCUGGUGCACUUGGCCGGCUCAGGCCAGCAUCAGUUCGGCGCGGGGGAUAAAGGCUUCGGGAAUGUGGCUCCUCCGGGAGUGUUAUAGCCCGUUGUGUAAUACCCUGUACUGGACUGAGGUUCGCGCAUCUGCAAGGAUGCUGGCGUAAUGGUCAUCAGCGACCCGUCUUGAAACACGGACCAAGGAGUCGUCUUCGUAUGCGAGUGUUCGGGUGUCAAACCCCUACGCGUAAUGAAAGUGAACGCAGGUGAGAGCUUCGGCGCAUCAUCGACCGAUCCUGAUGUUCUCGGAUGGAUUUGAGUAAGAGCAUACGGAGCCGGACCCGAAAGAAGGUGAACUAUGCCUGUAUA
This 713-nucleotide ribosomal RNA is filed under the name Cosmospora sp. KAS 1105. Its description in RNAcentral is "eukaryotic LSU rRNA". It matches the Rfam family "Eukaryotic large subunit ribosomal RNA", at positions 98 to 843 of the family's 3401-position model. Lineage: Eukaryota; Fungi; Ascomycota; Sordariomycetes; Hypocreales; Nectriaceae. The record is from RNAcentral.